UUCGCCAACUAAUGGGCAGCUAAUCUUUUUUUACUCAAUCGCAGAACUAAAACUGCGUAAGUGGCGAAGUGUUUCAAGAAACAUUUGGUGCUGCUUAUGUGACUGAACAAGUGCGUUCAGUCUGCAAAACACAUAAGGUAAACAAAUUUAGGCAAGAACUGAUAGGACAGCACUCCUGUCAGUUUUUU
This 188-nucleotide non-coding RNA is filed under the name unclassified sequences. The record is from Rfam.